Molecule: ribosomal RNA, 450 nt
Filed under: uncultured bacterium
Lineage: Bacteria
Description: partial 16S ribosomal RNA
Rfam family: Bacterial small subunit ribosomal RNA
Source: RNAcentral
GUGGGGAAUUUUGGACAAUGGGCGAAAGCCUGAUCCAGCCAUGCCGCGUGCAGGAUGAAGGCCUUCGGGUUGUAAACUGCUUUUGUACGGAACGAAAAGACUCCUUCUAAUAAAGGGGGUCCAUGACGGUACCGUAAGAAUAAGCACCGGCUAACUACGUGCCAGCAGCCGCGGUAAUACGUAGGGUGCAAGCGUUAAUCGGAAUUACUGGGCGUAAAGCGUGCGCAGGCGGUUAUAUAAGACAGAUGUGAAAUCCCCGGGCUCAACCUGGGAACUGCAUUUGUGACUGUAUAGCUAGAGUACGGUAGAGGGGGAUGGAAUUCCGCGUGUAGCAGUGAAAUGCGUAGAUAUGCGGAGGAACACCGAUGGCGAAGGCAGCCUCCUGGGAUAACACUGACGCUCAGGCACGAAAGCGUGGGGAGCAAACAGGAUUAGAAACCCCUGUAGUCC